GGCUUGGUGGUCUAGUGGUAAAGACGUCCGUGCCUGUUCCAGGAGGUGAGCUUGCUUGCGCUCCUGUCGAUCGGCGGUGGCGGAAGACGCAGGUUCGAGCCCUGUCAGAGGCA
Apiosordaria backusii is the source of this 113-nucleotide non-coding RNA. The record is from the annotation of a GenBank genome assembly. Lineage: Eukaryota; Fungi; Ascomycota; Sordariomycetes; Sordariales; Lasiosphaeriaceae.